UAGGGAAUAUUGGACAAUGGGCGCAAGCCUGAUCCAGCCAUGCCGCGUGAGUGAAGAAGGCCCUCGGGUUGUAAAGCUCUUUUGUCCGGAAAGAAAAGCAUCGGGUUAAUACCCCGGUGUUCUGACGGUACCGGAAGAAUAAGCACCGGCUAACUUCGUGCCAGCAGCCGCGGUAAAACGUAGGAGGCGAGCGUUAUCCGGAUUUACUGGGCGUAAAGCGCGUGCAGGCGGAUUGGAGAGUUGGAUGUGAAAGCUCCCGGCUUAACUGGGAGAGGUCGUUCAAUACUUACAGUCUUGAGUGCAGUAGAGGGAAGUGGAAUUCCGGGUGUAGUGGUGAAAUGCGUAGAUAUCCGGAGGAACACCAGUGGCGAAAGCGGCUUCCUGGGCUGUAACUGACGCUCAGACGCGAAAGCUAGGGUAGCAAACG
RNAcentral lists this ribosomal RNA (427 nucleotides) under uncultured bacterium. Its description in RNAcentral is "bacterial SSU rRNA". It matches the Rfam family "Bacterial small subunit ribosomal RNA", at positions 355 to 774 of the family's 1533-position model. The record is from RNAcentral.